RNAcentral lists this transfer RNA (63 nucleotides) under Heterocephalus glaber (naked mole-rat). It matches the Rfam family "tRNA", at positions 1 to 62 of the family's 71-position model. From Rfam's summary of the family: Transfer RNA (tRNA) molecules are approximately 80 nucleotides in length. The record is from Rfam by way of RNAcentral. Lineage: Eukaryota; Metazoa; Chordata; Mammalia; Rodentia; Bathyergidae.
GGGGAUUUAGCUCAGCGGCACAGCACCUGCCUGGCAAGCAUGAGGUCCUGAGUUCAAUCCCCA